Molecule: ribosomal RNA, 397 nt
Filed under: uncultured microorganism
Description: bacterial SSU rRNA
Rfam family: Archaeal small subunit ribosomal RNA
Source: RNAcentral
GUGCAGCAGGCGCGAAACUUUACAAUGUGCGAAAGCACGAUAAGGGAACUCUGAGUGCCUCCUAAGGAGGCUGUUCAGGUGUCUAAAAGCACCUGAAGGAAGGGCUGGGUAAGACCGGUGCCAGCCGCCGCGGUAACACCGGCAGCCCAAGUGGUAGCCACGUUUAUUGGGUCUAAAGCGUCCGUAGCCGGCUGGGUAAGUUCCUUGGGAAAUUUGGCUGCUUAACAGUCAAGCUUUCAGGGAAUACUGCCCGGCUUGGGACCGGGAGAGGUCAGAGGUACUCCAGGGGUAGGGUGAAAUCCAUUAAUCCUUGGGGGACCACCGGUAGCGAAGGCGUCUGACCAGACCGGGUCCGACGGUGAGGGACGAAGGCUAGGGGCGCGAACCGGAUUAGAUA